RNAcentral lists this unclassified non-coding RNA (421 nucleotides) under Zea mays. RNAcentral's name for it is "misc RNA Zm00001eb085210". Lineage: Eukaryota; Viridiplantae; Streptophyta; Magnoliopsida; Poales; Poaceae. The record is from RNAcentral.
GCUUCGGUGCGCCGGGGAGGAAAGGCGCCUUGCUGUAGCCGUGGGGAAGAAGGGCUCGCGCCCAGGGAGGCCCUGCUCAUGCGCGCGUGCUGCUGCAGGGGCGUCGAGCACAGGGGGCAAAGGGAGGCGCUGGAGGGAAGGGACGCCAUGGGCAAGGAGAGGGAGGGAGCUCCAUGCGUGCUGGGAGAAUGGCGCCUGCUCUCCCUGCUGGGUUCCGAGGGGAGCAAUGAACCGGCCAUGGUGCAGAGGGGGAGGAGGGGAUGUCGACCCCCAUGGCUGGUGGCGAGAGGAAUGGAAGCUAGGGUGGCUGGCUUGAGGAAAGGGGAGGAGACGCCAUGGGAGGCCCUCCACUGGUGUGCGUGAGGAGCAGGAAGAAGGAUGGCGUGGGGAGAAGAAGUGGAGAUGGCCGGGAGAAAAAAAA